GAGCAGUGUUAAAAUCUCCUAUUAAUGUGUAAUGUACCUGUCAGUGCCUCCUUUAUUAAGGGGUUCUUUGAGAAUAAAAGAGAAAAGACCUACUUUAUUUGACAGCAAAACUGUUCUAAUUGUUAAUAAGGACUUUUAAAAAUUGUUUUUGAUUUGCUAAGCUCAGAAAAAAUGUCUCUCAGUGCAUCAGUUCUUUGUAAAGCUUACUACGAAGUAUUUAUAUGCUAAGGAAAACAACUGAGGAUGUGGGUGGCUUAAAUCUGUAUUUUCAUCAUGUAUGUGAGUUUUUGUUUUUUUUUUUAAGUAAAGAAAUUUUCUGCAAAGAUCGUUACCUUAAAAAAGUUUAGCCUGGGCGUGAGCCACCGCGCCCGGCCGAACAUUAGUUUUUAAAGAAAUGUAUUAUGAAUAUAGAUAGAAAACCCAAAGUGAAGGAAUAGAAAAUGAAAUAUCAGAUUCUUUUAAUCUAUCAUAAUUAUGUGAGCAUAACUUAGUAUUUUGAAAUAGAUUAAUGUAGUCAGCAAACAAUUCAUGUAUUACCUAUAAUAGAUAUCAUAUAACAUUUAAUAACAUACAGUUCUUGUUCCUGAAGACCUAACCUAGAAAAUAACUCCAUAACAAGAAGAAUCUCUGUCAUAAUAAACCAACAGCAGACAUUUUCUAAAGGCAUUAAAAGUAUAUUUGAUACUGGCCUUUAUUAAUGUGAAAUUCUUGUGGAUCUGUGAAAUAAAGAGGAGUACUUUCUUUU
This 745-nucleotide small RNA is filed under the name Pan troglodytes (chimpanzee). Its description in RNAcentral is "processed transcript". The record is from RNAcentral. Lineage: Eukaryota; Metazoa; Chordata; Mammalia; Primates; Hominidae.